ACUUCUUCGGAUGCAUAGAAUGGAACACACAGACAGGAGAUAUUUAUACAUACAGAGAACAUGAAAAGGUGGAAGUAUGGAACACUUAGUCCCAAAUUUGUAGUAAUUUUCUACUACUUCACCAUCUGAGAGAUCUGGAUCUGCUUUCUGCUGGACUAGUGGGGACCAAGACUACUGCAGGAACACGACAUUCAGGCCUUGGCUUGCUCAUUACUGAUCCUGACAGCCGAAGAAGGAACACUGUUAGAUAGUUAAGAGGGGUUUUUUUGUGUGUGUGUGUGUGUGUGUAGACAGUCACCUUUAUACAGCCAGAAAGACAGUAACUGAUCUGGGAUGGCGGGCAGAUCCAGGGAUGGCAGUUUUGCUGUUUAGAGCUGCCCAAGGACCACGUGGUUGUUGGGGAGAGGAAUUGAGCAGGUUCAUUUUCGCUCUCAAUCUAGAGAACAGAAUAAACAGGGAGAGAGCAUUACUCUUACUGUUGGCUUGCUAGAAUGUGUAUGUAACUAUCUUAGCUCUUAUAGUAAAUGGUAGCAAGGGUUGAUAGCUUUUUUUGGUGUGGUUUUUGGUUUUGGUGGCCAAGUAGAGGAACGUAGCUUAUUUUUACUUAGCCGUCUUUAUUUUUUAGCUAUGUAUAAUUUAGUGAAAUUUAAUGUAUAGUUUAGCUUUUUUAGCACUUUGUUUCCUUGCUAUGCAAGAUAAAUAUCCAUUAUCAUAGAACUGUCUGGAUGGAGUUUAAAUUCUGUGCUUGGCUUAGAAAUACAUAAUUGUGUAUAUUACAUGCUUCAGAUAAUGCUUUGCUUUGUAUUUUGAAUAUUAUUAUGUAUUUGUUCUGAUGGGUUACUUUGACAUUGAUAUUUCUAAGCCCUA
Gopherus evgoodei (Goodes thornscrub tortoise) is the source of this 867-nucleotide long non-coding RNA. RefSeq lists it as uncharacterized. The transcript is spliced from 2 exons. The record is from RefSeq and is a predicted model, not a curated record. NCBI's taxonomy places the organism in Eukaryota, Metazoa, Chordata, Testudines, Testudinidae.